GUUUCAUCUUUAAAGGAGCCAAAACAUAAACGCUAUUGGUGAUAAAAAUGAGGGGUACCAAGACCUGGAUGACCUCAUCAAAGUGGAUCGUACAUCUAAAUGGCAAGACGAGGGCUGCGACCUGGACAGUCCCACUGCAGUCAGAGAUAACAGUGAGGAGGGACACCAAGAUCUGGAUGACUUCAUCGUAGUGAAUUGUACAUUUGAGCAGCAUGACAAGAGACACCAAGACCUAAAUGAUCUUAUCGAAGUGAAUCAUAUGUCUAACCAGCAAAGAAAGUAAGU
Candoia aspera is the source of this 285-nucleotide long non-coding RNA. RefSeq lists it as uncharacterized. The record is from RefSeq and is a predicted model, not a curated record. NCBI's taxonomy places the organism in Eukaryota, Metazoa, Chordata, Lepidosauria, Squamata, Candoiidae. The transcript is spliced from 5 exons.